CAGCAGCCGCGGUAAUACAGAGGGUGCAAGCGUUAAUCGGAAUUACUGGGCGUAAAGCGCGCGUAGGUGGUUUGUUAAGUUGGAUGUGAAAGCCCCGGGCUCAACCUGGGAACUGCAUCCAAAACUGGCAAGCUAGAGUACGGUAGAGGGUGGUGGAAUUUCCUGUGUAGCGGUGAAAUGCGUAGAUAUAGGAAGGAACACCAGUGGCGAAGGCGACCACCUGGACUGAUACUGACACUGAGGUGCGAAAGCGUGGGGAGCAAACAGGAUUAGAUACCCCUGUAGUCCCUGUCUCUUAUAU
This 301-nucleotide ribosomal RNA is filed under the name uncultured bacterium. RNAcentral describes it as "partial 16S ribosomal RNA". It matches the Rfam family "Bacterial small subunit ribosomal RNA", at positions 509 to 809 of the family's 1533-position model. The record is from RNAcentral.